This 428-nucleotide ribosomal RNA is filed under the name uncultured bacterium. RNAcentral's name for it is "partial 16S ribosomal RNA". It matches the Rfam family "Bacterial small subunit ribosomal RNA", at positions 338 to 795 of the family's 1533-position model. The record is from RNAcentral.
CCUACGGGGGGCUGCAGUAACGAAUCUUCCGCAAUGCACGCAAGUGUGACGGAGCGACGCCGCGUGGAGGAGAAGUCCUUCGGGAUGUAAACUCCUGUCAGAGGAAAGAUCUACCUCAGAGGAAGAGGCGGCUAACUCUGUGCCAGCAGCCGCGGUAAUACAGAGGCCUCGAGCGUUAGGCGGAAUCACUGGGCUUAAAGCGUGUGUAGGCGGACUUCUAAGUACCUUGUGAAAUCCCAUAGCUCAACUAUGGAACUGCUGGGUAUACUGGUUGUCUUGAGCCACAUAGGGGCUACCGGAACAAAUGGUGGAGCGGUGAAAUGCGUAGAUAUCAUUUGGAACGCCAAUGGUGAAAACAGGUAGCUGGGUGUGCUGACGCUGAGACACGAAAGCCAGGGGAGCGAACGGGAUUAGAUACCCUUGUAGUC